This 497-nucleotide ribosomal RNA is filed under the name uncultured bacterium. RNAcentral describes it as "partial 16S ribosomal RNA". It matches the Rfam family "Bacterial small subunit ribosomal RNA", at positions 28 to 507 of the family's 1533-position model. The record is from RNAcentral.
GAUGAACGCUGGCGGCGUGCCUAAUACAUGCAAGUCGAGCGAACAGACGAGGAGCUUGCUCCUCUGACGUUAGCGGCGGACGGGUGAGUAACACGUGGAUAACCUACCUAUAAGACUGGGAUAACUUCGGGAAACCGGAGCUAAUACCGGAUAAUAUAGUGAACCGCAUGGUUCAAUAGUGAAAGAGGGUUUUGCUGUCACUUAUAGAUGGAUCCGCGCCGCAUUAUGUAGUUGGUAAGGUAACGGCUUACCAAGGCGACGAUGCGUAGCCGACCUGAGAGGGUGAUCCGGCACACUGGCACUGAGACACGGUCCAGACUCCUACGGGAGGCCGCAGUACGGACUCUUCCGCAAUGGGCGAGAGCCUGACGGAGCACCGCGGCGUGAGUGCUGAAGGUCCUAGGAUCGUAAAACUCUGUUAUUCGGGAAGAACAAAUGUGUAAGUAACUAUGCACGUAUUGACGGUACCUAAUCAGAAAGCCACGGCUAACUACGUG